CUGAGCGUGUAAAAACACUCAAAACCAUAGCGAACCUACCAGUGGGAUGUAUCGUUGCCUCGGCGGGCGGCCCCAGGGGGGGCCCGCGGCCCUAUGGUGCCCGCCGGAGCUACAAAAACUCUAGCUGUUUUAGUACCUUCUGAGGAACAAGCAAAUAAAGUUA
This 163-nucleotide unclassified non-coding RNA is filed under the name uncultured fungus. RNAcentral's name for it is "sequence contains ITS1, 5.8S rRNA gene". The record is from RNAcentral. Lineage: Eukaryota; Fungi.